UAAAUAAAUAAAAAUAUGGACGGGAUAAUUUGAGUUAGGCUAAUGGGAUGGUCGAGCUAGGCUUACCCAUGUGGGCUGUUACGGGCCGAGUUUAUGGACGGGCUUGGAUAACAAACUUUUGUCAAAUCCUUAAAUCAUCUUUAUGGAUUGGAAUGGGCUGGACACUUAAGCAGGUUGGAACGGGUUGGGCGGAUUGAAUAAUAUUGGGCUUUUUUAUUUGCAGGCCAUUUGAUGACCUCCAGUCCUAGACAUUGGUUAAUACCGGGAUAUUUUGGAAAUAAUUGUGAGUUGCGAUGAUUUACCAAGUGUCUAUUGUCCUAGACAUUGGUUAAAAUAGGGAUAGAAAGAAUUUUAAAAAUGAGUUUGGUUUCUUUCAAGUUGGUUUCUUUCUAGAAUUGCAGGUUUUUACUUGUGCUCUAUUUGGAUUAUAAUUGCUUCCUAAUUAUUUGGAGAAAAUAUUUUUGAGCAAAUCAAGCAGUUAAGAAUUACACUCUGAACUGUGUGAUAGAUAUAAUUUUUCACUUAAUAAUGAAAAAAAUUAUUCAUUUUGAUGCAUUUAAAGAUUGGCAACAAAGCUUCUUGCCCCCGCCCCUGCCCAACACUGAAAAAUUAAAAAACUGUAUAUGUUAUAAUGAUACAUUGGGAUGAUUUGGGGGGUUUAUAUGCUGCUCGACUUUGUUUAUGUAUAAGGAGUUUGUUGUAAAGCUCCCAAGCUUGCUUAAAUUCUUCCUAUAAACCAAUAGAAUUAGCGUUUUUGCCAAUACAAGUGUCGAUCAUAUUUCAAAUAUCUAAUAAUCACUUGGAUUUUGAAUUCUUUUCAGGGAUUGCAUGUCAAGCCAGCAGCUAGUAGGUUUUCUACGUGAGCAGUUGAACACACGAGCUCUGUGGUAUGUGAAAGAGUACUUGAUAGGUGUUUGGCACCAUCUAUUUCUGGCGGUGAGGGAUGUGACAACAUGACCAUGAUCUUGGUGCAGUUCAAGAAACCCCAUGAGUGCUGCUGCUGCUGCUGCUGAUGCAGAUGAGAAAUCCUCGACUUCUGAUCAUGGAAAUCAGUCUACUACUGCAGCUGCAGACGAGAAAUCCUCAACUUCUAACAUAGCCGAUACUGAAUUGAAACCAGCGGAAACUGAGUCAACCCCGUGACAAGUUUAUCAAUGUGUCGUCAGAUUGCGUUGGUGCGAGCUGUAGUUCCAAGGAUAUUCAAGAAUCCUUGGUUGUCUCUGUAACUGAAGACAGUUUGGCUGGUAAAGAUGGGCCGGUUACAAAUUUACGAUUGAGAUUCGCUGUGUGGUGUGUUUUUUUCCUUUUUCUAUACGAUAUUAUAAUUGCAAGUAACUUGCACAAAAUAGAUCUGGAUCAAAGUUGUUCAACUGUCAUCUAGUUUAGCAGUCUAUAUUAGCUUGAUAAUGGUUUUUAUAUACCCUGCUUGUUUUUUCUUCAAAAUCAUUGGUUCUUUUCUGCUAAA
Molecule: non-coding RNA, 1465 nt
Organism: Camellia sinensis
Lineage: Eukaryota; Viridiplantae; Streptophyta; Magnoliopsida; Ericales; Theaceae
Source: RefSeq, a predicted model, not a curated record